UAAAUGGCACAUGAAAGCAAAGAUGAGGAGACGUAUGGAAAUGUAAUAAAUACAUUGGUCCAGCUUUUCUCUGUGGAUUUAAUCAUUUCAUGGCCUUACUUAAACUCUGCACUGUCUAGCAAGCAGAGUAGCCUCUACCAUCUGGUUUCUUCUGGUUUCGGGAGCCAGGAGACAAUAAUAUAUAAAUCAUCAACAAGUUUUGAACUGUGAUCCAGUGGUACAGGAGAUCCGGAGUGCUAUGAUGGAAAAUGUUCCAGAGGGACUGUGUCUGGACUCACUAGGAAAGGAGGUCAUGAACAAUUAGCAACAUUUGCCCUGUGUAACCUUUCGCCAGGAGGCUAACUUUAUGGACUGCAUCAAUGUUGCUUUCAGCCAAUGGGAGACAUUGGCAAGAGAUCGGAAAGUAGACAGCUCCUUUCCUGCCAGGACACAGGUUAGAUGUGGCCAUGUUCAGCUACCUAAGGUCAAGGAUUUUAUUUAUUCAUGAGAGACACAGAGAGAGGCUGAGACCUAGGCACAGG
This is a long non-coding RNA of Canis lupus familiaris (dog), 521 nucleotides long. RefSeq lists it as uncharacterized. The transcript is spliced from 4 exons. NCBI's taxonomy places the organism in Eukaryota, Metazoa, Chordata, Mammalia, Carnivora, Canidae. The record is from RefSeq and is a predicted model, not a curated record.